CAAAAGCAAUGGCUUGGCCAAGUCUCAACAAGUUCCACCCAACGUCAAAGCUUAUGAUGUUUGGGAUGGGGCACCGGAAGGCAACGCUUUAGAGGAGAUAGAGUCGUUCAUGAAAGUGGAGCAUGCGGUUUUUAAGAGAGGAGUGGAAGUGGCGGUGACGGAGAGAGGGAGGAGACUGAGUUGUUUGGUGAGUGGCGCUUUCGUUGGGGUUGGGAAAGAAAUGGCAGAAGAGAGCUUGGGUUGCGUUUUUUGCUUCUGAAGCUUCCCCUCUUUCUUCACUGAUUUUAUCAAACAAAAGUUUGGAGUUGAAGCUACAGCAUACAGGAGACGAUGAAAUGAAACUAUCAACUUCGUUCCGGGAAUGUCUAAGGUACGCAUCCGCGACUUGCCCGAAGGAAUCGUCUCUUCUCCGGAGAUCUGAAAUCAGACUUCUAUCGCAUGUUGUCUUCAUAAGCCAGAACCUGCAUCAGGCAACUGUUGUCUUCAUCAACUCAUUCGAAGAACUCAGCCCUUCCAUUACCAACGACAUGAAACCAAAGUUCAAAAAGCUCCUCAGCGUUGGACCUUCAGUCCUUUCCACACCACCAGUACCAGUUCCAGAUUCUCACGGUUGCUUGUCAUGGCUCAACA
This is a long non-coding RNA of Hibiscus syriacus, 630 nucleotides long. RefSeq lists it as uncharacterized. NCBI's taxonomy places the organism in Eukaryota, Viridiplantae, Streptophyta, Magnoliopsida, Malvales, Malvaceae. The transcript is spliced from 2 exons. The record is from RefSeq and is a predicted model, not a curated record.